UCUCAAUUUCUAACUUGAGCAUCAAAGGAUUCUCACCAAAGCCAUCUCUGACCAAGGACUUCAUUUGUAGAUAUUGCCGUUGCCAUCUUCGUCGGGCCACGAUCUACUCCAGCAGCUCUGACACUAGUCGAGAUAUGUCGCGGCAACAACUCCCAAUAAUUAUAAGAUAUGUGCAACUAAAACCUAAUAAAUAUUAUUAAAAAGAUGGCCUUAUUAUUCA
This 220-nucleotide long non-coding RNA is filed under the name Elaeis guineensis (African oil palm). RNAcentral describes it as "long non-coding RNA (EGUI_LNC054368)". Lineage: Eukaryota; Viridiplantae; Streptophyta; Magnoliopsida; Arecales; Arecaceae. The record is from RNAcentral.